Long non-coding RNA from Rhodamnia argentea, 175 nucleotides. RefSeq lists it as uncharacterized. The transcript has 3 exons. The record is from RefSeq and is a predicted model, not a curated record. Lineage: Eukaryota; Viridiplantae; Streptophyta; Magnoliopsida; Myrtales; Myrtaceae.
CUAGUGCGGUUACAAGCCUAGUUCGGUUAAGACAAAAGAAUUGGGCCUGGUUCUUUUGUGCCGACCGGGCCCGGCUCCGGUUCUCUCUCUCGAACUGGGUCAGGCCCAAAAACUCGAUCCAGGUCCGGUCCGAAAACCCGACCCCGACUCGGUCCCUUUUUAAUUAAAUAAAUAA